Molecule: unclassified non-coding RNA, 345 nt
Filed under: soil metagenome
Description: partial contains 5.8S ribosomal RNA, internal transcribed spacer 2, and large subunit ribosomal RNA
Rfam family: 5.8S ribosomal RNA (bases 1-121)
Source: RNAcentral
GAUGAAGAACGCAGCGAAAUGCGAUAAGUAAUGCGAAUUGCAGAAUUUCCGUGAGUCAUCGAAUCUUUGAACGCACAUUGCGCCCACUGGUAUUCCGGUGGGCAUGCCUGUUCGAGCGUCAUUAUCCUCCCUCAAACCCCGGGUUUGGUGUUGGACCCAAGUUGUGUGAACAACUGGUCUCAAAGACAAUGACGGCGUCCGUGGGACCCUCGGUGCAACGAGCUUUUAGGAGCACGCAUCGAGUUGCAAGGACCUUCCGGGCCGGUCUCCUUUACCAUUUUACAAGGUUGACCUCGGAUCAGGUAGGAAUACCCGCUGAACUUAAGCAUAUCAAUAAGCGGAGGA